This is an RNA transcript of Triticum dicoccoides, 2921 nucleotides long. RefSeq lists it as uncharacterized. The record is from RefSeq and is a predicted model, not a curated record. NCBI's taxonomy places the organism in Eukaryota, Viridiplantae, Streptophyta, Magnoliopsida, Poales, Poaceae. The transcript is spliced from 10 exons.
GCCGCACGCCGCCGCCGCCACCGCAAAUCCCCAGGGACGCCGCACGCCGCCGCCGCCGCGAAUCCCCAGGGACGCCGCACGCCACCGCCGUCGUGAAUCACCAGAGACGCUGCUCGCCGCCGCCGCGAAUCCCCAGGGAUGUCGCUGCCACCGCCGCGGAUCCCCAAGGGCGUGGUCGCGUUGCCCUGAUUGGAGGAGACCCUGUCGGCCUUGCCUUGUUUGGAGGACUGUGUGCGUCAAUCCCGACCUCCGCUUUCCCCCUUUUCCAUCAAGGACCGUCGCCGCUGCUUCGUCUUCUAUCUCUGCGGGUCCCCAUCGGCACCUGCUGGAUGGUGCUCCGGGAACAGGGCCGCACAGAGGCCCUCCUCCCGUAGGUUGUGCAGACGCGGCGCGCCUUCCAGCGGCUAUUCGGGAUGAGCGCGGGCGCGACAACCUUGUCCCAGUCGACGAUGGCGGCGGCGAACGCCGGUGCUCCUUCUCGUCCUCUACCUCCAAGGACGCGCACCGGUAUAGCUCAAACACCCCCGUCCCCAAAUCCCGUCCACCCAUCCGGCGUUGUCCAGCUCAUCCUCUUGCUCGUGGAUUCGCCUCCUCCUGUACGCGACACUUAAAACAUGGACGUGUUUGUAUUCAGUCUGUAUGCGUCUGGAUGUGAAUGGCACUUGCAGUAUGUGGCUGCUCCUUGGUUGUCCAUUUGUAUGCGUCCAUAGUCUGAAGCAGAACCUCCAUCUUCUAUCUCAACGUCGGCGGCCCGACGGCGCCGACUCCUUAUCGACGCCCGUCGGCGGCCCGGUGAUGCGACCAGAUCACUGCAAAUUGCUCCAUUUGUGUCAGCAGCCUAAUCAGGUGGAGGUGGUCGUGCUGGCGCCACUGUUUUGCUUCAUGCUGAUGCGGUAUAAAAGUGCCUCCUCGGCAGAUGAGGACCUGAGCGUGGCCAUGCUAAUGAGGAUGCAGGAUCCACCGCCACCGGCCAGUCCGAGUGAUUGCAGAGAACUUGGCAGGCAGAUCAAUUACGAGGAGGUCAAGGCUGAGCUGGAGUGGGGUGGGCGCCAACAUGAAGGAGCUGGAGAUAUCUCUAUUUUUGUCAGUCAUUAUUCAGGCUCUAAGCUUCCCCUUUCCCUAUACCACAUUACUUGAUAUUAUUAAAUUCAGUACGCUUACUCAACUGUGAACAAGUUCAUGUGGUAAGUAGGAUCAACAAGAGUUGGCCGGCAACUGCUAUGUAUAUGUUAUUAUGGAUCAGCCAAGGUGGUUAAAUUUUAUUUUUUUUCCUUUUUCUUAAUUUAUGCCCUUAAGUUUAUGCUGUUAAAUGCAUACACAUAACUUAGUUCCAGAUUUAACAAGAGUACAUUUUACAAUGAACUUCAUAGCUGAUGUUGAUCAUAAUUAGUAAGUGUACAAAGCAUUUCAAGGAAUUUCUGUUUUGUGCAUAUUGUAUAUUGCAGACUUGCAGUGAAGCAGUGCCAUCUAAGUACCAGAUGUAUGUUAUUUUCAAAUAAGCUUUUCUUAAAAUGGAAAAUACUAAAAAGCAAAUUGUGCCACGCCGUGCAAUUAAGGUGCCUUUUACUGGAAACUCAAUGCAACUUCUUGUUAUUUUCAAAUAAGCUUUUCUUAAAAUGGAAAAUACUAAAAGGCAGAUUGUGCCACACCGUGCAAUUAAGGUGCCUUUUACUGGAAACUCAAUGCAACUUCUUGUUAUUCCUUCUGAACCUAGCAAUUAAGCCAUAUCUUGUUUUCACUCCUUCUGAACCUAGCAAAAUGACCUGCUUGGACCGAACGAGGACAGGUGUCUGGUGGUGGACAUAAGAUGCACGGCGAACAUUGAGCUACAGAAGAACAUUAUGAAAGAGGUUGGAGAGGCUGGAGGAGACCAUAUACCAACACAAAGCGCAUCUUGAUGGCCAUCAAUGAGGAGCUGGACCUGCUACACCAGGCUAAUUGCAAGCAUUGGGAUGAUUUGGACGAGAUGACUGAUGAGGACAUGAGCGUUGUCGGAUGAUUUGGACGAGAGGACUGUAGCACGACGCAAUGAAGAGCCAGAUCGUCCGUCCGCUCCCAGCUCACUUCCCAGUUCUGUUGUGCUGCCCCGUGCACCAACCAUCCAGUAAAGGUUCUGAGGAAGAAAUUACUAGAGAGAAGAAAACUCAGUUUUACAAGUAGUGACAGUCCAACAUCAUAUUGACACAUCUGGUUUCUCUUUCCACAAGCAGGGUCGAGUGGGGUGAUAUACUAGGCGCUUUCUUCUAAAUUUUGAAAAUAAAUGCUGGCAAAGAUAUUAAAAUUCAAAUCUGGCUUAUUUUUCUCAAUAUGGGUUCAGAAGGAAAUUGUCGUUGAGCUUCUAUCUAAAGUAGGCACUUUUUCAUUAGAUUUCAGCAGCGGCUGAUGGCAGCAACCUCAUGGGCCACACAUCCCCUUCUUUAAUUGCAUGCCCUCACAAAAUGGAUGGGGACUUGGUUCUUUGGUUGUCGCCGCCGGACUCAGUGAAGGACGAAAAAUUGAGAUGAUCUAGUGGAGAAUAGAUGCCACGGGCUGAAGAAAGGAGGCGACGGUUUCAGAGCACACACCUUGAAGCGGAGAGGCGGCAAGGGAGUGCGUCUGGAUGGCAGAGGGAGCGGGACAAGGCAACAUCACAUGGGAGGCAUGGUCAAAAUCGGCGCCGUAGGAGCAAUCGUGCGCGUGGGGGUCGUACCAGGGAGAAGGAAAAGGAUGGUCGGUUUUCUAGGGCUUUUUUCCUUGCAUCGGGAAAUGGGUUUGGUUGAAAAAAACGAUGAUGUGGGGAGGUUAUGCGAGUGGUGGAUACGUGGGUACCAUUUAAUGUACCAACCGCGCUUUAAUAGUAGAGAUUAAGAUGUUGAUAUUUUAUUCAUUUUCUUCUUAGCUGAACAUUCUUUAAACCAAAAAUCUAUGAAACUUGUAAUGUA